CAAAGAGUUCAACUCUACCUU
RNAcentral lists this small nuclear RNA (21 nucleotides) under Arabidopsis thaliana (thale cress). RNAcentral's name for it is "snRNA_04603". The record is from RNAcentral. Lineage: Eukaryota; Viridiplantae; Streptophyta; Magnoliopsida; Brassicales; Brassicaceae.